CGCUGGCUGAGCAUUUUGUUGGAGAAAAGACAUUCGAUCGGAAAAAUCGGAAGAAACAUUUUCCUUGCCUUUCCGUCGGCAGCGAGUGCGUUCAGUUCGUUACACAGCGUCACCGGGAGCUGUGGUUGCUCGGGUGAUCCGAGUUUCCGGGAAUGCUGCUCCGGGUAUUUGUGCGAUCUCCGACCGACUGGGAUCUGCGUGUGCUAUCCGUGUGCUGUCCGUGUUUUUGGCGUGUGAUAAAAUAUUCAAUAGUCGGGAGUUUUAGUACACCUUUCGCUGGUACCUCAUCCAUUCAGAGCACCGGUUAAGUGAAAAUACUUUCGAAGAAAAAGUCCAAACUUGUUCUUCGCACUAACUUCCGUUCAGAAUACUUACAUACUUUAUUCUAAAGAACGUCGCGUUCGGCGCGUUGCGUUGACCAUUUCCAACAAAUAAAAGUUGCGUGUAGUGCAAAGUUUUCUCCAAGGAAUAUGCUACAUUCAAUAAGCGUGACACAUGUAAGGACAUCACGACCGUUCGAAAGAGAAACCAGAAAGUGUCAAAAGUUGGCCGGUAGAACACUUUACCCGCUGGGAUAAGCAUUACGAGUUGCAGAGCAAAUCGACGAUGAAGACGAGGGACGUUGAAGUUGUGCUGGUCGAUGGGUGGGAAAACGUGAAAAAUUGAAACUUUCUCUUCGCUGUCCCAGCGAACCAGGUUACGGUCAACUAACGAAGAGGAGUUGAAACCUGGAAAAUAAUUCUUGCAUUACUCCUGAAGGAAAAGGCAUCAACGAUAGAGUCUUACAUCUGAAGUGAAAUUUAUACCAUAAUCAGGUUGUGUCAGCACUUUUCUCGCCCGAUGUCAACGACACACAUGCAACAGCCCCUGUAGAUCGGUACGCUCGAUAGAAGCUCGUGCAACAAGAGGAACUCGCCCAGGUUGGGGAGUCGGCCGUGAGCAACUUUGAUGUAAAACACUCAAAAAUAAAUAAAAAAAAGUUUAUCCCUUC
Anopheles stephensi (Asian malaria mosquito) is the source of this 991-nucleotide long non-coding RNA. RefSeq lists it as uncharacterized. NCBI's taxonomy places the organism in Eukaryota, Metazoa, Arthropoda, Insecta, Diptera, Culicidae. The record is from RefSeq and is a predicted model, not a curated record. The transcript has 3 exons.